CAGUAGCCGCGGGAAAACGUAGGUGGCAAGCGUUGUCCGGAAUUAUUGGGCGUAAAGCGCGCGCAGGUGGUUUAAUAAGUCUGAUGUGGAAGCCCACGGCUCAACCGUGGAGGGUCAUUGGAAACUGUUAAACUUGAGUGCAGGAGAGAAAAGUGGAAUUCCUAGUGUAGCGGUGAAAUGCGUAGAGAUCGGAAAGAACGCCAACGGCGAAAGCACUCUGCUGGGCCGACACUGACACUGAGAGACGAAAGCUAGGGGAGCAAAUGGGAUUAGAUACCCCCGUAGUCCCUGUCUCUUAUAC
RNAcentral lists this ribosomal RNA (301 nucleotides) under uncultured bacterium. Its description in RNAcentral is "partial 16S ribosomal RNA". It matches the Rfam family "Bacterial small subunit ribosomal RNA", at positions 509 to 807 of the family's 1533-position model. The record is from RNAcentral.